This 278-nucleotide ribosomal RNA is filed under the name uncultured bacterium. Its description in RNAcentral is "partial 16S ribosomal RNA". It matches the Rfam family "Bacterial small subunit ribosomal RNA", at positions 29 to 334 of the family's 1533-position model. The record is from RNAcentral.
AACGAACGCUGGCGGCGUGCCUAACACAUGCAAGUCGAACGAGACCUUCGGGUCUAGUGGCGCACGGGUGCGUAACGCGUGGGAAUCUGCCCUUGGGUUCGGAAUAACUCGCCGAAAGGCGUGCUAAUACCGGAUGAUGUCGUAAGACCAAAGAUUUAUCGCCCAGGGAUGAGCCCGCGUAAGAUUAGGUAGUUGGUGAGGUAACGGCCCACCUAGUCUUCGAUGGAUAGGGGUUCUGAGAGGAAGGUCCCCCACAUUGGAACUGAGACACGGUCCAA